CCCUCGCUAGCCUGGCUGGCUGCGGCACCGACCUCAAGGAGGUCGGCAGGGAACCCGCUUUGUCGCCGGUCGGUUCCGGCAUCGGUGCAGGCGGC
Molecule: transfer RNA, 95 nt
Filed under: Mesorhizobium sp. J8
Lineage: Bacteria; Pseudomonadati; Pseudomonadota; Alphaproteobacteria; Hyphomicrobiales; Phyllobacteriaceae
Description: tRNA-Leu
Source: RNAcentral